RNAcentral lists this microRNA precursor (79 nucleotides) under Phlebotomus papatasi. RNAcentral's name for it is "mir-92 microRNA precursor family". It matches the Rfam family "mir-92 microRNA precursor family". Rfam says of the family: This family represents the microRNA precursor mir-92. Lineage: Eukaryota; Metazoa; Arthropoda; Insecta; Diptera; Psychodidae. The record is from RNAcentral.
UUUUACCUGGGGGUCGGAAGUGGGCGCAAUGCACGGUAAUUGACAGUGUAUUGCACCACUUCCGGCCUUCGGGUGAGUC